UUUUCAUGCAUACUUUCAACAGUCAAAUAUUCAUGUUGCAUUUUUUGCCAUAUAUCUUUUGUUUGUUGUCUCCUGCUAAUUGGUGAUAUAGAUCUCCCCAGUAGAUCUCCCCAAGCAGAUGUUAGGUGUCUAAUCUUUCAAUAUAGAGUCAGCCCCAUAAGCAGAAAGUGUCUGUCUUUUCUUCUGCAGUUCCCCAGUGAGAUAUUUCCUCGUGGAUGACGG
Molecule: long non-coding RNA, 222 nt
Filed under: Lathyrus oleraceus (garden pea)
Lineage: Eukaryota; Viridiplantae; Streptophyta; Magnoliopsida; Fabales; Fabaceae
Description: Pisum sativum (pea) long non-coding RNA (PSAT_LNC038816)
Source: RNAcentral